GACGAACGCUGGCGGCGUGCUUAACACAUGCAAGUCGAACGGAAAGGCCCUGCUUUUGUGGGGUGCUCGAGUGGCGAACGGGUGAGUAACACGUGAGUAACCUGCCCUUGACUUUGGGAUAACUUCAGGAAACUGGGGCUAAUACCGGAUAGGAGCUCCUGCUGCAUGGUGGGGGUUGGAAAGUUUCGGCGGUUGGGGAUGGACUCGCGGCUUAUCAGCGUGUUGGUGGGGUAGUGGCUUACCAAGGCUUUGACGGGUAGCCGGCCUGAGAGGGUGACCGGCCACAUUGGGACUGAGAGACGGCGCAGAGUCCUACGGGAGGCAGCAGUGGGAAAUAUUGCACAGUGGGCGGAAGCCUGAUGCAGCAACGCCGCGUGCGGGAUGACGGCCUUCGGGUUGUAAACCGCUUUCGCCUGUGACGAAGCGUGAGUGACGGUAAUGGGUAAAGAAGCACCGGCUAACUACGUG
Molecule: ribosomal RNA, 468 nt
Filed under: uncultured bacterium
Lineage: Bacteria
Description: partial 16S ribosomal RNA
Rfam family: Bacterial small subunit ribosomal RNA
Source: RNAcentral